GACGAACGCUGGCGGCGUGCUUAACACAUGCAAGUCGAACGGAAAGGCCCUGCUUUUGUGGGGUGCUCGAGUGGCGAACGGGUGAGUAACACGUGAGUAACCUGCCCUUGACUUUGGGAUAACUUCAGGAAACUGGGGCUAAUACCGGAUAGGAGCUCCUGCUGCAUGGUGGGGGUUGGAAAGUUUCGGCGGUUGGGGAUGGACUCGCGGCUUAUCAGCUUGUUGGUGGGGUAGUGGCUUACCAAGGCUUUGACGGGUAGCCGGCCUGAGAGGGUGACCGGCCACAUUGGGACUGAGAUACGGCCCGGACUCCUACGGGAGGCAGCAGGGGGGAAUAUUGCACAAUGGGCGGAGGCCUGAUGCAGCAACGCCGCGUGCGGGAUGACGGCCUUCGGGUUGUAAACCGCUUUCGCCUGUGACGAAGCGUGAGUGACGGUAAUGGGUAAAGAAGCACCGGCUAACUACGUG
This 468-nucleotide ribosomal RNA is filed under the name uncultured bacterium. RNAcentral's name for it is "partial 16S ribosomal RNA". It matches the Rfam family "Bacterial small subunit ribosomal RNA", at positions 28 to 507 of the family's 1533-position model. The record is from RNAcentral.